UGUAAGUGGCAGAGUGGCC
This 19-nucleotide small nuclear RNA is filed under the name Arabidopsis thaliana (thale cress). RNAcentral describes it as "snRNA_10604". Lineage: Eukaryota; Viridiplantae; Streptophyta; Magnoliopsida; Brassicales; Brassicaceae. The record is from RNAcentral.